This is a long non-coding RNA of Capsicum annuum, 1266 nucleotides long. RefSeq lists it as uncharacterized. Lineage: Eukaryota; Viridiplantae; Streptophyta; Magnoliopsida; Solanales; Solanaceae. The transcript is spliced from 2 exons. The record is from RefSeq and is a predicted model, not a curated record.
UACACCAAAAAAAAAGGUCUACUGUAUCUUUCUUUUUUAAUUAGAAAAUCACACUAUAAAAAAAUUCAUACAUUACACAUGAGGUUUUAUUAAUAUUAAAAUUUUAGUCUCUCCGAGAACAAUCAAGGAAAAUCACCGCCACCAAAUCCAGUACAAACGCUGGAUGUUUCUGAUUCUUCCAGUUUAUUGAAGUUUGAUAUUAUGUUGAUUUGCGAAGAUUUUUUAUUUCGUAAACUCCUCUUUUAAUUGGAAAAGAUUAUUUUUGGUCAUAACUUAUGAUCAAGAGACAUACGAUGUCCACUUUGAGUAUGGUCUUGUCAAUAAAAAUGGAAAUAACAAUACUUUGUACACAUUUUUAUUUUUGUUUGUGUUAGCGGCUCGAAUCAACAACUCUAAUUUUGGUUAGAGGUUCGUUUCCUUCCCUCUUUUUUCCUUUUUAAAUUUAAAUUUUCAUCUUAACUUAAUGAAUCGGGCUUCCUUUUUUAUAAUCUGGCAGCCAAUUAACUUUCUAAUUUUUGUUCAUGCUAUAGAUAAGGAAUUUUCACAUAGCAAAUAGAGAGGAAGAUAUUGGUUCCCAUGCAGGUUAUGUUCUUUGUUGCCAUUGAUGUUCCGAAAAUACAUGGUCACAAUUUUCUUCUUUCAUAAAAUUAUUUUCUGAUAAGAGUAUUUGCACUAAUCUUAGAUUUACGUGCAUUUUAAGUUCUUUAAGGUUUACAAAUGUUGAUUUAGUUAUUUAUAUUUGGAUAACUUCUUAUAUGGUUGAUUAGUUCACACGCACGUUAUGUUCGUGAUCAUGAAUUCACUAUAGCAAGGAGCAAUGAAAGUAUUGUACUUCAUGCAGGCGCAACUCAUGAAUAUUCUUACUUUUAUGUUCGUUUUGUCCACGGAUCAACAAAUAACGUCUAAUGAAGUAGAUGGAAAGAUUGAACGCUCACACGCCAAAAGUAGCAAAAUUGAGAGUACUAUGAUAAAUGUAUGACCAAUUAGGAUAGAAGGGUUAGUAACAGAAGGUGAGAAUGGCCGUUGUGAUGGUCAAGGCGAGAGGCGAAAUUGAGAUGGUUCGGACAAGUGAAUAAAAAAUAUUUAGAUGCUCAAAUUACCUAUCAAAUGUUGUAUAAGUUAUACAUGUAUAAUCAUCUUCUCACCUGCUUUGAUUUUUAUUUUUUUUUUAUAUUGAACAUUGUUUUAGUAUUACGCUUGAGUUAAAAUUUUAAUGUAUAGAACAAGGAAAGAAAGAAUAUCCAAUUUUAUUAUUCACUUUAACCA